UGCAAGUUUAUGUAGUGGUGCGUUACCGGGUGUGCAUUCGUGGGAUGCACCUCACCUUAAACAACCUAAACUCACACUCACUGCAUGCACGAGGUAAUUAAUUGAACCGCUAGGUGGUCCCAGAACACUCUGAGGAAAUUCCCAGGCCCACUACUGUUCUUGGUUGUAAGUUACACGUUCGGUAGGACUCAUGGGUAAAUGUGUUUUUUAUUAAAUGUUUAUAACGUGUGCAAACGUUUUGGUGCAGCUCUUAUAUGUUGACAGGGUCGUUGUUGGCGCAAGGGAUGUCCCACGGACCACCCCGGUGUCACAUGGGUGGACUUCCAAGGGGUUGGAAGCACGGGAGGAACGGGAGGUUGCAGCGGGGGGAUUUGGGAACGGGCAGGUGGAUGCACCGUUGCAGGAAUCAUCACCGCGUGCACGACGUCAAACCCCAAGGAGGACACCACUGGCCAGCCCACCACACAGUGCCCCACUCCAGGAUGGACCACAGAAUCGUGCACCACCCCCGCCUGACACAAGUCCAAGCCUGGUGCAGCAUGAUUUUGAUCCGGGUGCAUCGACCUCCCGGCCUCAGUCCUCUAGCCUGUGGGGGGCACUGAAGAUGCCCGAGACGAGUCGGGGGUGCACCAGGUGCACUGUGACCGUACUCCGGGUGUAACAAUGGGGUUUGCCUAGGAGUUCGCCACCAUGGCAAGAGACCUUCGUUCUUUAGCUAUGAGGGUUGCAGAGGAGGUACGCAGGAACCCUAGCGAGGCUCAUGAACAUCACGACUUCCAACAGAUCAUCGAUGUAGCGAGUAUAUUGGCACCCCUAAUCACGGAGCACACAAAGGAAGCACCUCACCAUACGUCGGGAGUAACGCGUGCACCACUUCUACCUCCACGACAGCUUGACGAUGCGGUGUGGCAGAGCACGCAGUGUUUGAGAUAGUUGGACCGGAUAGAGGAGGAAGCCAUGCGGGUAGAACAUUGCCAACUCCGCAGGUUCGGUAUUGCUAAAAUGUUUUGAAAAGCAUUUCGGAAAGGACACGACCUUGUCUACCUUUUUUACUGUGCUCUUGCUGUUUUAUCUAGCAAUAUUCUUGUGAUUAUUAUGUUUAUAUUGUACAUGUUACUGGUUUGAUUAAUAGGACAUGAAUGGUGUUUUCGAUUAUAAGUGUCAUAUAUC
This is a long non-coding RNA of Ipomoea nil (Japanese morning glory), 1170 nucleotides long. RefSeq lists it as uncharacterized. NCBI's taxonomy places the organism in Eukaryota, Viridiplantae, Streptophyta, Magnoliopsida, Solanales, Convolvulaceae. The record is from RefSeq and is a predicted model, not a curated record. The transcript has 3 exons.